UCUUAAAGGUACAGGUAAAGGUACUGCUACAGGAAGUGACUGUUCAAACAGGAAGUGCCCUGCCUAUAAAGGAAGCAGGAAGUUGAGGGUUCCUUCUUUAAUCUUCAAGACUGCACACAGCAGGCAGCAACAGAAAUUUUUCACUCCUUCUUCAAUCUGGUGAAUAAAUGAAAAGAGGAGUUUGUCUGACUGUCAACCUACGUGCACCAAACAGGUGGAGGACUGUACACACACCUGUGGAGGAUGUAGAGGACCAUCUCUUUACUUCCUGCACUGGCAGCGUGAUGACGUCACCUGCAGCCGGACGAGUCGAGUGACGUGAGGGGCAGCCUGACCAAAACAAGAUGAAGAGCUAUUAACAUGUAUGCUACACCACGCUGCCUCACCUGCUUCAACAUCUGGUGUUUCCUCGCUCUGAGAACUCUGAUCUGUGCUGCAGCUGGAAGGAUUUUCUUUGGAUUAAAGUUUACCUGUUAACUAACUUGUAG
Long non-coding RNA from Labrus mixtus (cuckoo wrasse), 488 nucleotides. RefSeq lists it as uncharacterized. NCBI's taxonomy places the organism in Eukaryota, Metazoa, Chordata, Actinopteri, Labriformes, Labridae. The record is from RefSeq and is a predicted model, not a curated record. The transcript has 4 exons.